RNAcentral lists this ribosomal RNA (854 nucleotides) under Enterobacter kobei. RNAcentral describes it as "partial 23S ribosomal RNA". It matches the Rfam family "Bacterial large subunit ribosomal RNA", at positions 678 to 1533 of the family's 2925-position model. Lineage: Bacteria; Pseudomonadati; Pseudomonadota; Gammaproteobacteria; Enterobacterales; Enterobacteriaceae. The record is from RNAcentral.
CGAGUCUUAACUGGGCGUUAAGUUGCAGGGUAUAGACCCGAAACCCGGUGAUCUAGCCAUGGGCAGGUUGAAGGUUGGGUAACACUAACUGGAGGACCGAACCGACUAAUGUUGAAAAAUUAGCGGAUGACCUGUGGCUGGGGGUGAAAGGCCAAUCAAACCGGGAGAUAGCUGGUUCUCCCCGAAAGCUAUUUAGGUAGCGCCUCGUGAACUCAUCUUCGGGGGUAGAGCACUGUUUCGGCUAGGGGGCCAUCCCGGCUUACCAACCCGAUGCAAACUACGAAUACCGAAGAAUGUUAUCACGGGAGACACACGGCGGGUGCUAACGUCCGUCGUGAAGAGGGAAACAACCCAGACCGCCAGCUAAGGUCCCAAAGUCAUGGUUAAGUGGGAAACGAUGUGGGAAGGCACAGACAGCCAGGAUGUUGGCUUAGAAGCAGCCAUCAUUUAAAGAAAGCGUAAUAGCUCACUGGUCGAGUCGGCCUGCGCGGAAGAUGUAACGGGGCUAAACCAUGCACCGAAGCUGCGGCAGCGACGCUUAUGCGUUGUUGGGUAGGGGAGCGUUCUGUAAGCCGUUGAAGGUGGCCUGUGAGGGUUGCUGGAGGUAUCAGAAGUGCGAAUGCUGACAUAAGUAACGAUAAAGCGGGUGAAAAGCCCGCUCGCCGGAAGACCAAGGGUUCCUGUCCAACGUUAAUCGGGGCAGGGUGAGUCGACCCCUAAGGCGAGGCCGAAAGGCGUAGUCGAUGGGAAACAGGUUAAUAUUCCUGUACUUGGUGUUACUGCGAAGGGGGGACGGAGAAGGCUAUGUUAGCCGGGCGACGGUUGUCCCGGUUUAAGCAUGUAGGCGGAGGUUC